This 279-nucleotide ribosomal RNA is filed under the name uncultured bacterium. RNAcentral's name for it is "partial 16S ribosomal RNA". It matches the Rfam family "Bacterial small subunit ribosomal RNA", at positions 506 to 784 of the family's 1533-position model. The record is from RNAcentral.
UGCCAGCCGCCGCGGUAAGACGGAGGGUGCGAACGUUGUUCGGAAUCACUGGGCAUAAAGGGCACGUAGGCGGUCUGCUAAGUUGGGUGUGAAAGCCCUCGGCUCAACCGAGGAACUGCAUUCAAAACUGGCUGACUUGAGGAUGGUAGGGGUGAGUGGAACUCCAGGUGGAGCGGUGAAAUGCGUAGAUAUCUGGAGGAACACCAGUGGCGAAAGCGGCUCACUGGACCAUUUCUGACGCUGAGGUGCGAAAGCUAGGGUAGCGAACGGGAUUAGAUA